GGACUACAGGGGUAUCUAAUCCGUUUUGCUCCCCACGCUUUCAUGCCUCAAUGUCAGUAAUAGGAUAGUUAACUGCCUUCGCCUUAUUGGUGUUCUUCCAUAUAUCGUCACAUUUUACCGCUCCACAUGGAGUUCCGUUAACCUCCCCUAUACUCAAGCACAAUAGUAUUAUCAGCUUCCACGAGGUUGAGCCCCGAUUUCCCACUGACAACUUGUCAUGCCAUCUACGCAUCCUUUACGCCCAAUAAUUCCGGAUAACGUUCGCCACCUAUGUCUUACCGCGGCUGCUGGCAC
RNAcentral lists this ribosomal RNA (294 nucleotides) under uncultured bacterium. RNAcentral describes it as "partial 16S ribosomal RNA". The record is from RNAcentral.